This 128-nucleotide non-coding RNA is filed under the name Ophiophagus hannah (king cobra). RNAcentral describes it as "Eukaryotic large subunit ribosomal RNA". It matches the Rfam family "Eukaryotic large subunit ribosomal RNA", at positions 823 to 952 of the family's 3401-position model. Lineage: Eukaryota; Metazoa; Chordata; Lepidosauria; Squamata; Elapidae. The record is from Rfam by way of RNAcentral.
GCAAUGAACUAUGUCUGGGCAGGGCAAAGCCAGAGGAAACUGGUGGAGGUCUGUAGUGGUCCUGACAUGCAAAUAGGUCAUCCGACCUGGGUCCAGGGGUGAAAGACUAAUCAAACUAUCUAAUAGCU